GGUUAAGCGACUAAGCGUACACGGUGGAUGCCUAGGCAAUCAGAGGCGAUGAAGGACGUGCCAUCUGCGAUAAGCGUCGGUAAGGUGAUAUGAACCGUUACAACCGACGAUUUCGAAUAAACCCAGUAAUUCGUUGCACUAUCGUUUGAUGAAUACAUAGUCAAACGAAGCGAACCGAACUCUGAAACAUCUCAGUACCCCGAGGAAAAGAAAUCAACCGAGAUUCUAGUAGCGGCGAGCGAACGGGGGCAGCCCAGAGUCUUAAUCAGCAUUAGCAUCAGGAGAACGGUCUGGAAAGUCCGGCAGUAAAGGGUGAUAGCCCCGUAUCCGAAGGUGUUAGUGUUGUGAACUCGACGAGUGCGGGACACGUGUUAUCCUGUCUGAAUAUGGGGGACCAUCCUCCGCUAAAUACUCCUGAUUGACCGAUAGUGAACCAGUACCGUGAGGGAAAGGCGAAAAGAACCCCGGCGAGAGUGAAAUAGAACCUGAAACCGUGCGCAAAGUGGAGCCCCAUCACCAAGCGUCGGCAAUUGAGUGAGGGUGUAAACCAUCACAAUAAUAAAGCAGGAUUUGGCAAUAAGAUUGGCGAUUUUUUCAAGCCGUCGCAAAAACAGGCCAUGAGCGCGGAAGUUGAAAAGCGGUGGAACGUCGUAAAGACAAGCGGGACAUUUGAGGAUGGGGUGACUGCGUACCUUUGUAUAAUGGGUCAGCGACUUAUAUUCUGUAGCAAGGUUAACCGUAUAGGGAGCCGGGAAACCGAGUCUUAACUGGGCGAAUAAGUUGCAGGGUAUAGACCCGAAACCCGGUGAUCUAGCCAUGGGCAGGUUGAAGGUUGGGUAACACUAACUGGAGGACCGAACCGACUAAUGUUGAAAAAUUAGCGAUGACUUGUGGCUGGGGUGAAAGGCCAAUCAAACCGGGAGAUAGCUGGUUCUCCCCGAAAGCUAUUUAGGUAGCGCCUCGUGAACUCAUCUCGGGGUAGAGCACUGUUUCGACUAGGGGGUCAUCCCGACUUACCAACUCGAUGCAAACUACGAAUACCGAAGAAUGUUAUCACGGAGACACACGGCGGGUGCUAACGUUCGUCGUGAAGAGGGAAACAAACCAGACCGCCAGCUAAGGUCCCAAAGUCAUAGUUAAGUGGGAAACGAGUGGGAAGGCUCAGACAGCCAGGAUGUUGGCUUAGAAGCAGCCAUCAUUUAAAGAAAGCGUAAUAGCUCACUGGUCGAGUCGGCCUGCGCGGAAGAUGUAACGGGGCUAAACCAUGCACCGAAGCUGCGGCAGCGAUAUGUAAAUAUUGUUGGGUAGGGGAGCGUUCUGUAAGCCUGUGAAGGUGUGCUGUGAGGCAUGCUGGAGGUAUCAGAAGUGCGAAUGCUGACAUAAGUAACGAUAAUGCGUGAAAACCCGCACGCCGGAAGACCAAGGGUUCCUGUCCAACGUUAAUCGGGGCAGGGUGAGUCGACCCUAAGGCGAGGCAGAAAUGCGUAGUCGAUGGGAAACGGGUUAAUAUUCCCGUACUGGUGAUAACGAUGGGGACGGAGAAGCGCUAUCCGGGCGACGGUUGUCCCGGUUUAAGGAUGUAGGCAGGUGAAUUAGGCAAAUCCGGUUCACUAUAUGCUGAGGUCCGACGACGAGUCACUACGGUGAUGAAGUAGCUCAUGCCCCGCUUCCAGGAAAAGCCUCUAAGCUCUAGAUCAAAUCGUACCCCAAACCGACACAGGUGGUCAGGUAGAGAAUAUCAGGCGCUUGAGAGAACUCGGGUGAAGGAACUAGGCAAAAUGGUGCCGUAACUUCGGGAGAAGGCACGCUGGCAUUAGGUGAAGUGAUUUACCAUGGAGCUGAAGCCAGUCGCAGAUACCAGCUGGCUGCAACUGUUUAUUAAAAACACAGCACUGUGCAAACACGAAAGUGGACGUAUACGGUGUGACGCCUGCCCGGUGCUGGAAGGUUAAUUGAUGGGGUUAUCCGUAAGGAGAAGCUCUUGAUCGAAGCCCCAGUAAACGGCGGCCGUAACUAUAACGGUCCUAAGGUAGCGAAAUUCCUUGUCGGGUAAGUUCCGACCUGCACGAAUGGCGUAAUGAUGGCCAGGCUGUCUCCACCCGAGACUCAGUGAAAUUGAACUGCUGUGAAGAUGCAGUGUACCGCGGCAAGACGGAAAGCCCCGUGAACCUUUACUAUAGCUUGACACUGAACAUUGAGCCUUGAUGUGUAGGAUAGGUGGGAGGCUUGAAGCGUGGACGCCAGUCUCGUGGAGCCAACCUUGAAAUACCACCCUUUAAUGUUUGAUGUUCUAACGUUGCCCCAUUAUCUGGGGUGACAGUGUCUGGUGGGUAGUUUGACUGGGGCGGUCUCCUCCCAAAGAGUAACGGAGGAGCACGAAGGUUGGCUAAGCAUGGUCGGACAUCAUGCGGUUAGUGCAAGGCAUAAGCCAGCUUGACUGCGAGAGUGACGGCUCGAGCAGGUACGAAAGUAGGUCUUAGUGAUCCGGUGGUUCUGAAUGGAAGGGCCAUCGCUCAACGGAUAAAAGGUACCUGGGGAUAACAGGCUGAUACCGCCCAAGAGUUCAUAUCGACGGCGGUGUUUGGCACCUCGAUGUCGGCUCAUCACAUCCUGGGGCUGAAGUAGGUCCCAAGGGUACGGCUGUUCGCCGUUUAAAGUGGUACGCGAGCUGGGUUUAGAACGUCGUGAGACAGUUCGGUCCCUAUCCCGUGGGCGUUGGAAGAUUGAAAGGGGCUGCUCCUAGUACGAGAGGACCGGAGUGGACGCACCACUGGUGUUCGGGUUGUCGCCAAUGGCAUUGCCCGGUAGCUAAGUGCGGAAGAGAUAACCGCUGAAAGCAUCUAAGCGGGAAACUUGCCUUGAGAUGAGUCUUCCUGACUUUAAGGGUCCUAAAGGAACGUUUAAGACUAAGACGUUGAUAGGUUGGGUGUGUAAGAUACGUUGAGCUAACCAAUACUAAUGAACCGUGAGGCUUAACCUG
This 2980-nucleotide ribosomal RNA is filed under the name Providencia rettgeri. RNAcentral's name for it is "23S ribosomal RNA". It matches the Rfam family "Bacterial large subunit ribosomal RNA". Lineage: Bacteria; Pseudomonadati; Pseudomonadota; Gammaproteobacteria; Enterobacterales; Morganellaceae. The record is from RNAcentral.